UACGGAGGGGGCUAGCGUUGUUCGGAAUUACUGGGCGUAAAGCGCACGUAGGCGGACCAGUUAGUUGGGGGUGAAAUCCCGGGGCUCAACCCCGGAACUGCCUCCAAAACUGCUGGUCUGGAGGUCGAGAGAGGUGAGUGGAAUUCCGAGUGUAGAGGUGAAAUUCGUAGAUAUCGGGAGGAACACCAGUGGCGAAGGCGGCGAUCUGGGAAGAUACUGACGCUGAGGUGCGAAAGCGUGGGGAGCAAACAGG
Molecule: ribosomal RNA, 253 nt
Filed under: uncultured bacterium
Lineage: Bacteria
Description: partial 16S ribosomal RNA
Rfam family: Bacterial small subunit ribosomal RNA
Source: RNAcentral